GGGCCUGCUUAUGUUGAUGGAAACUGCACAUACUUUGCUGGAAAAGAUUUCGUAGAUUUUGGAAGUGUUGAGUGGAAGAGUAUGAUGAAGAAACAUAGGAUUACUGAUCUCAGUCGAGUCCUUAUAUUCUUUGAUGACCAUCAAAAUGAACUAAAAAGAGUAAAGCAGGCACUGAAUGCUGGCUUUAAACAUCUUGUUUUUGAGGAUAACUAUGAUACUGGAACAGGAGAUCAUUAUUCCUUAAGGCAGAUAUGUGAUCAGUCCUAUAUAAGAGGUGGUGGUCACAGCUGCUUUAGGGAUAGCGAUGAAAGCAGGAUUAGAUCAAAAAGAAAGAAAUUCUGGGAGAAGGCAGUUGACAUAGAUGAACUGUGUGGUCCAAAUGAAGUGUGGUGGGGUGUUAGAGGCUGGAUGCGGGAUAACUUUAAUCACAGUAACAAGCCAAUUUCCUUUGAGGAACAUUUUCAGAGCAGCCGGUUUAUUGAAUCAAUCCUCGAUAUUUAUUGGGAGCUUCCCCCGGUAGCUGGUCCUUCCCUCACUCAUCAAACACGGUAUGAUCCUGCUCGAACUACACCACCUAUUGUUGAAGAUGGUCGCUAUGGCCUGUUCCAGCGGCUUGGUCUAGGUAGACUAGAGACAUCUGUAUUUAAUGGCUAUACCCAGAUGGUAUACCUUCAAAUCUCUGAACAAGAAAAUUAAAGCUGUCCAGAGGGGAUGACAGAGCUAUUAGGUUUUAGUAGAUUGAAACACAAAGGUUGUUAAUAUUCAUGCCUUUUUCACAGGCUUUCAGAAUGUUACCUUUCUUCUAACGUGUUUGGGCAAUAUCCUGUUAAUAUUUAUUCCUUUAUUUGUCGUCUUCAAAUCUCAAAUCUCCUUAAUUGACUUUGUAAUC
Molecule: unclassified non-coding RNA, 889 nt
Filed under: Hevea brasiliensis (rubber tree)
Lineage: Eukaryota; Viridiplantae; Streptophyta; Magnoliopsida; Malpighiales; Euphorbiaceae
Source: RNAcentral